AGGGCACCACCAGGAGUGGAGCCUGCGGCUUAAUUUGACUCAACACGGGAAAACUCACCCGGCCCGGACACUGGAAGGAUUGACAGAUUGAGAGCUCUUUCUUGAUUCAGUGGGUGGUGGUGCAUGGCCGUUCUUAGUUGGUGGAGCGACUUGUCUGGUUAAUUCCGAUAACGAACGAGACUCUAGCCUACUAAAUAGAUCGUCGGCUUACAAACGCCGAUGAGACUUCUUAGAGGGACAGGCGGCGAUUCAGCCGCACGAAACAGAGCAAUAACAGGUCUGUGAUGCCCUUAGAUGUCCGGGGCCGCACGCGCGCUACACUGAAGUGAUCAGCGUGCAUUUUCAGCCUACUCUGCCAAGAGUGGGAAACCCAAUGAACCUUCUUCGUGAUUGGGAUAGGGGAUUGUAAUUAUUCCCCUUGAACGAGGAAUUCCCAGUAAGCGCGAGUCAUAAGCUCGCGUUGAUUACGUCCCUGCCCUUUGUACACACCGCCCGUCGCUACUACCGAUUGAAUGUUUU
This 519-nucleotide ribosomal RNA is filed under the name uncultured eukaryote. RNAcentral's name for it is "SSU rRNA". It matches the Rfam family "Eukaryotic small subunit ribosomal RNA", at positions 1161 to 1699 of the family's 1831-position model. The record is from RNAcentral.